GACGAACGCUGGCGGCGUGCUUAACACAUGCAAGUCGAACGGAAAGGCCCUGCUUUUGUGGGGUGCUCGAGUGGCGAACGGGUGAGUAACACGUGAGUAACCUGCCCUUGACUUUGGGAUAACUUCAGGAAACUGGGGCUAAUACCGGAUAGGAGCUCCUGCUGCAUGGUGGGGGUUGGAAAGUUUCGGCGGUUGGGGAUGGACUCGCGGCUUGUCAGCUUGUUGGUGGGGUAGUGGCUUACCAAGGCUUUGACGGGUAGCCGGCCUGAGAGGGUGACCGGCCACAUUGGGACUGAGAUACGGCCCAGACUCCUACGGGAGGCAGCAGUGGGGAAUAUUGCACAAUGGGCGGAAGCCUGAUGCAGCAACGCCGCGUGCGGGAUGACGGCCUUCGGGUUGUAAACCGCUUUCGCCUGUGACGAAGCGUGAGUGACGGUAAUGGGUAAAGAAGCACCGGCUAACUACGCG
This 468-nucleotide ribosomal RNA is filed under the name uncultured bacterium. RNAcentral describes it as "partial 16S ribosomal RNA". It matches the Rfam family "Bacterial small subunit ribosomal RNA", at positions 28 to 507 of the family's 1533-position model. The record is from RNAcentral.